UACGUAGGGGGCAAGCGUUGUCCGGAAUCAUUGGGCGUAAAGAGCGCGUAGGCGGCCCAGUAAGUCCGCUCUGAAAGUCAGGGGCUCAACCCCGGGAGGCGGGUGGAUACUGCUCAGCUCGAGUCCGGAAGAGGAGUGUGGAAUUCCUGGUGUAGCGGUGAAAUGCGCAGAUAUCAGGAGGAACACCGGUGGCGAAGGCGGGUCUCUGGGCCGAUGACUGACGCUGAGGAGCGAAAGCGUGGGGAGCGAACAGG
Molecule: ribosomal RNA, 254 nt
Filed under: uncultured bacterium
Lineage: Bacteria
Description: partial 16S ribosomal RNA
Rfam family: Bacterial small subunit ribosomal RNA
Source: RNAcentral